Molecule: transfer RNA, 7436 nt
Filed under: Cricetulus griseus (Chinese hamster)
Lineage: Eukaryota; Metazoa; Chordata; Mammalia; Rodentia; Cricetidae
Description: lncRNA (ENSCGRG00015035135.1)
Source: RNAcentral
GGCUGGUAUCAGUUCCCAGAAGGCUCCAUCCUUAGCCUGUCUUUUUCUUCCAUCUCUCAUGGUUUGCACUGUAACAUUUCUGAGCCUUGGUUUGCACUCAAUGUUUACCCGACUCCUGUGGGGAUGCUGGUUUGUAGACAGAACAUAGCCAAACAUCUCAAGGGUGUGUUUGUAUCGUUUCUCGAAGGGUCAUCUUCUAUCUAUGAGCUUCAAAGGUCGGAGUGUUCUGGAGAAAGUAAACUCACCUCAUACCUGCGUAGGAUGUUCCGAAGGCUGUGCGUUCCUUGCCAGCAUGGCCUCAGCAGCAGCUUUGUAGUGUGUUGGGAUGAGCACUGGGCUGGACAGGGGCAGGGAUUUUCAUCUUCUUUACAGGAUGUACUACAUACUUGAAAUAGCAUCUAGAAAAAUAUUUUUGAACGAAUACAAUUAUGUCUGCCUAUGGAUUGAUUUGAGCUCAAGCAGCAUAGAGCAGUGUUGAGAUCUGGACAAUGUUGAAUCCUUGGCUGGGAGAUCAGCACAUUUUUUAAGAGCUGACAGCCACCCCUGCACGCUGCAGUGUAGAAUUAAUGAAGACACAAGUAUAAGGAAGCCUCUAAUUGAAUGCAGCAUAGAGCAAGCAGAGUCGAACACACAGCAUUCCCAGCUGAAAUCCCACGUGUUGGCUUCUAACCCUCCUGGACGGCCGGCACAAGAAAAUAUUUCUGGGCUGUGUCUCGGGCAGCCUGUUCUAUCCGCGUGGCCAAAAGAGAACAAGCAUGGCCUGUCUCCUGGAUAGAGGCACUGGGUUAUCUGGAAUCCAAGAUUGCCUUUGGUAAAGCUCUUGUUGGGUUGGCUAAAAGGCAUGGCAUAGGAGAGAAAAGAAAGAACCCCAAGAAACAGAGGUGUUUGGGCAGGAGCCCUCUGCUAUAGUUCAUGUCUGUUACCAGUUCGUGUGUGACAGCUCUGGUUGGCUGGAGGUGGACAGCCCUUCUCCAUCACUCCGGGCAAGCUCCAUCAAUCCCCUGCUUGGUCUUGUACAUCCCUCGAUAUGCAGAUUCCCAUGUGAGGCAGAAUGGGAACACAUCUUCCUUUCAGAAUUCCUGGUUGGUGAUUCAUAGCAUGGUUAUCCAGCUGCUUUGUCUCCUGGGGCCAUCCCUGGGGAUGAUCCCCCCGCCCCCCCGCCCUACCACCAUGUUUGGUCCUUGCUGCUGUGUGACUUUCUGGUGGGGGGUGGGGUGGAAAUUGCUGAGUGGCCUACAACAGAUCUGAACCUGAGAUGACCAAAGGAAUCCUGGGUAUGUGCAUCACUGGGCCCCUUCAGCCAGCUGCUGCUGGAGCUGUUGAGUGCAGGCUGGCUUGACUCGGAUCCCCUGGGGUCAUUUCCACACAUUUCACAUGCCUUGUGUUUCCUGUGUCACCAAACCAUGCUAUUUAGUUGUAAAGGGUCUCCUCUGGCAGGUCAAGGCUGUGGACACCUCCUUUCAAAUCCCAGGUGCUGUGUUGGCUUGUGGAGACCCUGGCAGAUUUGUGCAGUGACCCUGACUCCUCAUGCCCCAUCCUUUUGGUUAAAGGCAUGCAGCUGCAUUGCUGCUUAAUGUGUGGGCAGUGCUCUACCGGCAGGAGGUAGUGGCACGGCUCAGAGAACGGGGCCAUGUGUACAGCCUAGCUCUGCCCUCAGCACCAGAGCUGCAGGGAAGUCCCUGGGUGUCUGCAGAGCAGGUGGCCUCCGUCUGAACACCCAGCUCUGUCAGCUGUUGAGAGCCCUAGUUGGAAGAAGCAUUCCAGGGACAUUCCUUCUGUCUGGAGCAGGGACUUGGCUUGAACCUUGAACCAAAAAAACCAGAACAAGCUGCACCAGUUUGCUCCACCUCAAAACAAAUGCUUUUUUUUUUUCCUUCCUUAAUAGCACUGAGAACAAAACCCAAGUUCUGGGGUUGGCGUGCUUUGUUUUCCCACUGGGGAACAGUUAGGAAACAAGACUAAACUGGUUCUUCUGACUGACUGAGAGGGGAGGAAGAGGGCCUCUGCACGGGCCUUGGGUUUACUCAGUUAGCUCCCAUGCAGGUUGAUACUAGAAGAUAUGGCAAGGUCUGUGGAGAUUGUAUGAGGGUAUCUGCAGGCUGGAGAGGCUGAGGAGGCUGAGGCUCUGACCUGGGCAACCUGUAUGGGGGAAGAAAUGUGUGGAGUUUGAAGCCUCCUGGCAGCCACAGGGAAGGGUGCAGAAGCCCCCAGAGCAAACUGGCCCAGGAAAUACCCUUCUUUUUGAAGAAAAGUAGUUGCUUCUUCUGUGUCACGUGACCCUUUCACCCUGACAUGCACAAUGCUACCUACCUAAGUGAACACCUUCUCACAGUGCCACUCCUGACUGGAGGGGCUUUUACCACUCUGUGUAUUCAUUUCGUUCAUGUCACUUGUUUUUCUGUCUGCUUAGGAGCUGUAUCUGAAUCUACUGAUAUUUUAGCUACUGUCUUUUCCUCAUGGCCUGAAGUCAGCACCCUGCUACCCAGACCGUGGCCUGGCAGGAUUUCUGUCCUGUUGGCACCAGCUGACCAACAAAUGUUGUCUUCAUCUAAGUUGUUCUGUUUACCAAUAAACUCAGGAGUCAGAUGUUGGGGUGGAAACCUGCUAGAUCAGAGGAGCCAAGAAGCAACCAGCUCACCUUCCUUUUCGGCCAGAGGCGAAGCAAGAAAAGUGUCUCUACUUAUCCCAAACCAAAAAGUCCUCGAAUCUCUAAGUCCCUUCCUCUCAUUCCUGUGUCUCUCUAUCCAUAUUGCUGGGUCCUCCAUACUCUCUAUGGCUCAUUCUUGUCAACUAGUCACUGGCUCUACCCACUGAUCCAAGGUUAAUUUUAUUAACAAUCGGCCUUGGACUUUCACUGUACAGUCGAAUAUCCAAAAACACACUGUGAUUAGAAAUAUCCAAUAGGGGCUGAGGGAUAGCUCAGCAGUAAAGGGCUAGGCUCACAACCUACCAGCCAUGCCCCACCUUCUAAAGGUCCCAUAGUCUUCAAAAUGGUACCGCAAGCCAAGCAAGGUACAUUACUCUCUGAGAGGAUGUUCCCUAGAAAUACUGUCAGAUUCUUCUAGAAGUUUGAGUCUGGAGACUGUGACUGAAUUUGUUUCCUGACCUCCUCACUCCCUCUGGAUUUACCAGGUAACCUGGGAUCUGAACCAGUCCAUCCAACACAUAACUACAGCUGAGGCUGCCAUAGGAACAUAUGUUUGCUUCCUGUCACAUUUAACCAAAGCUUGUCCACAUAAAGUGUUUCCUGGCUCUGUUACCCUGUACAGGUUGCUUAACUUCUCUGAGUCCUAAUACCUCUCUGUAUCAAAUGAAGCUAAUGCUAUCCUUCAGAAAGGUCCAUGGGAAUGAAUGUGCUAUGGUACCUCAACACUCAUGACCUCACUUGGUCCAGGGUCCCUUUCCUUCACGUGAAGAUAGCAACUGCAUGAUGGGUAGGAGGGAGCUAGUGUCACAAGACAUAUUUGGCUGAUUUCAUUCGGGGUUCUAUAAAAAGGUUAAAUUUAGUUCAGAUGUAAAUUUAGCAAAUAGGUGUGAUUUGGGGUCUUAUCCCAUCCCCCUUUCUGUUUAUGGCUUGGUUCAGUCUCUGUUGCCCAAAGCAAUCAUCCACAUAGCACUAAUUAAGACAUCUGUGGAGCUCCCAAAAGUGAAAUUCCAAAACCCAGAUGCCUGCCAAAGCUUACUGGAAUUUAUCACAUUUUUUUUACAUGCUUGGUACCACCCAGUACAGCACUAGCCCUUUAUGGCAGUGGGCAGCCUGAUCAUGGAGUGCUCUGCCAGUGGCAUUCCCAGUGCCAUGCUACUAACUCUGAGCCUUUCCCCAGUUUCUUGGUCCCUAAGGAGGAAAAUAAACCUGAUUUAAUCAUUUUUGCUACGAGGAAAGGGCUUAGGAAAAAUAAAGUUGAGGUAGAUGGAUGCACCUGCCGUGGUCUUAUGAAGGCUGAAAUCUGUCUCUUCAAGUCAGACCCUGGAUCUCGGCUCCUCACUCUGUCUUUGUCUGUUCUGGAGCCACUGUCCUUCCUAACAGUUCUGUAAGAAGCCUCCUCUGUAGCUCAUGUUCUAUACCUUCUUCUCCUCCCACACACUUCCCAGGACAACCUGAUGCAGACUGGGGUAUGAAAGGGAAAGGAGAAAGUGCAUAGUCACAGAUGAAAAGUGAUGGAUGAGAGCAAGUGAGGCAGUGGACACAAAGCACGAGAAAGAUGUCGUAGAGAGAUAUCCACCCUGCCCACACCUGUGGUGCUGACCAUGUCUGUUUGAGCGUGGUCACAGGUUCAGACGUGACGGACGGUGGUUUUAGGUCUGGGGUCGGGGACAAGCUGCUCUCUCUUCCUUCCAGUAGGGUCACAGAGAGCAGCCUGGGUGAAUCCUUGGAGUGGGAACUUGCAUCCAUGCAUCCAUAUCUGGCACCCAACGUGUGGCUCGAACCCACAACCCUGGGAUUAAAAGUCCCAAGCUCUCCCGAUUGAGCUAGCUGGGCUGUUACUAUUUGACCCGUGACACCUCCAGGCUCGAAUCUUUUCAAGACUGAAGCCUGGUUGACAGAGGUAUGUCAGUAGAUGGUUAGCCUAUGAAGGUCAGACCUGCUUCUCUGUUUCACUGGCUUGCUAGCUCUACUUCCUGGUCAGUUGACAUUCUAGCAAGCCUCUGUCACAUGUGUCUGCCGUCCCACCAAGGUGAACAAAAAGCUUUCUGAAACCGUGGGUCCGAAUGCCUAUGUCCUCCCUUCAAUUGUCUCUGUCAGGUAUUUUGUGGCCUUGAUGAGAAAAGUAACUACUCCAUAUUUAGAGGCUUCAGGGGAUUCUGGGAUGUUUUAUAUCAAAUCUUCGUAACAAAAUGAUGUGUGGUGCCUAUGUCAUAAGAAUCAGGUACUUGAGAGGUUGCAGGAUAUGUGUGUUUAUAAGUUUGAAAUAUCUUAUUGAAAAGCUUUAUUUUGAAAUGACUUUGGGAAGAGGAAGAGGUUGAACUUUAAAAAAAAUUGUGUCAUAUCUUUGCUAGCACAGGCAGCUUGCUCUAUGUCAUGGGAAUAUUGAAAUAUACCCUUGAUUUGAGUGGCCGAAUGACUGAGUACACCACUGAGAUAAAAUUUGAAAUCACUCCCCCACCCAUAAGCAAAUUAUACCUUUAACCCAUGGACAUAUUGCAACAAGUGAAACCCAGCUGCCUGCCAGAGCAUUCUGGAAUGUGAAGUGUUAGACCCUGGUCAAAGUUUCAGGACACUUGCACUUCUUUUGGGGUGAUAGUUUUUAUUAAUUCCUUCCAGAUUACUUUUCAAGCUUGUCCCCAGGGGAGAAGAGUAUUUGUGUAGUUGCUGCCCACAUGCCAACUCUCCUUUGUGAUCCAUAACAACGUAAAGCUUGUUGGAUUGUCUCCCAGGUUCUAGAAGGAUGCCAUGUCACGAGUGGCCCUUCACAAUUAGCCUUGUUUGUGGGGACCAUGUAAGUGUUCUCAGACCCUGAUCUCAGGGUCCUCCAUGGAUUUCUGAUGAUGGUCUGUGGGCACCAGGGAGGGGCAGGGUAGUGAGUUCAUGUCCAGUGGCAUAGGGAAGCUCUAAUUCAUAUCCAAGGUGGUCAAGGACUAAGGGAGCACUAUUUAUGGAGCCUUGAACCCCUUCAUUAUGAGACAGUGCCAUUCAGAUGUCUUUUUUGGGUGUGUGUUGAGGUAUGUAAUUAGCCUGCCCUUGGCUUUGAGCUUUCAGAACACGGAGAGGCUCACACACGAGGAUCUCACACAUCUAGCUACACUGUCUGAUUCUGGGAAAAGUGACAGGGUGACCUUAGCUAGUCUUCCCAGACUUGACCCAGACAAAACCAAGGGGUCUGAGUCCGGGUGAAACUCAGAAGCCAGGGAUAGACAUCUUGGAAGGACUUUUUUCAGUCUUCUCUGUGUGGUGAUGUACUACACCAAAUGUUACUGAGUAAAUGGAAGAGCUCUCUGUGGUUAAAGCUGCAAUGGUCAGGACAACAAAACAAAACAGUCAAUUCUGUAUGGCUCAGAGUACAGAAGGGAUAUUCACAAGUUCACACAGAUGCAAAUAAAUGAUCAAUAAAUUAAUACGUGGAAAGAAGAGGCCAAUCUCCUAAAGAGAAAAAUUCCAAGAAUUCGUGUUGAUAACUACUUUAAAAUGGAUGGAAUAUAACUCCUUGUUCCUCAGAUGUAAGUUACAGGCUUAGGUGACUUCAUGGUGGUAUGAAUGUCACAUUGCAUGCUUGUACAAAACCUAGGUGGUCUAGCCUACAACAGACAACAUGUCCAGGCUACAAAGUAUACACCAUUGUAUGGGUAGGUUAUUGACUGAAUGCUAUUGUGUAACAUGUGACAAACCUUUCCACACAUUCUUGAAUGAAUUCACAUAUUUCCUCAGAUGCUUCACACAGGUUCUGGGACAUUAACUUUCAAAACCUUUUUGGUAGCCUCUGUAUGAGGAAGAUCCUGGCCAUGAGUCUUCUUUAGGUUAGGGUCACUUGAAAUGCAUGGUACCCAGGACCACAGGGUACCAUAUAGCUAUGCUGUCUGAAGUGGUGGCCCUAUGAAAACACUGAGAAUUUGGUGCUGACAGCAGAGAAAACACAUCACAUGUUAGAGCCUUAGUGUUAGUCCCUGCUAGUCAUUUUAUGCUGCUAGUGUUGAAUGGAUACUGUUUGAAUAUACUGGGUUAAAUAGAUUGUCAAGCUUAAAUCUUCCUACUUAUUUUUCUUCUUCUUUCUUCUCUUCCUCCUUCUCCUCUCACUUUCUGGGUUUAUUGAGACAGGAUCUCUUGUAGCCUGGGAUGGCCUCAAACUCAUUAUAUAGCUGAGGAUAACGAGUUCCUGAGCCGAAUUGCCUAGUUUAUGUGGUGCUGGACACCAACCCCAGGCUUUGAGGAUGCAAGAGCACAUAUGUCUUUCUAUUACAAAUACAGCUAAGGGGUGGGGUCAUAGUCCAGUAGUAGAAUGAUUCCCCUGUAUGUCUGAAGCCCUAGGUUCAAUUACAAGUACUACAAAAACACAGUAAAUGAUUCGGGAUGCAACGAAAGCAAUCCUGAAAGAUAAUUUUAUAGCUACAUUAAAAUAAUCAGAAAGCUGCCAAAUAAAUAACUUGACAGUGUAAUUUAGAGUCUUGUGAUAAUGUGAGCAAGCCAAACUAAAAGACAAUGAGUGGAAAGAACCAAGGCAGGGCAAGAAUUAAUGAAAUAAAAACAAAAAACAAUACAAAGAGUCAAUGAAACAAAAUAGUUGGUUCUUUGACACAGUAAGCAAAAUUGACAAAACUUUAGUGAAAUGAACCAAAAGAAAGUGAAGACCCAAAUUAAUAAAAUUAGAGGUGAAAAAAUGAGACAUCAAUGAAAUUCAGAAAAUUAUUAGGAUUUCUUUGUAACUAAAACUAGAUGAAGACACAAGAAAUAAAUUACAGAUUUAUAUCUUUGAUGAGAAUAGGUGUAAAUUUUCCCAAUAAAA